Molecule: non-coding RNA, 124 nt
Organism: Triticum aestivum (bread wheat)
Lineage: Eukaryota; Viridiplantae; Streptophyta; Magnoliopsida; Poales; Poaceae
Source: Rfam
UAUGUAUUUCCUCCGUCCGGAAAUACUUGUCGAAGAAAUUGAUAAAAAUGGAUAUAUCUAAACUAAAAUACAUCUAGAUACAUCCAUUUCACCGACAAGUAUUUCUGAACGAAGGGAGUACACA